Molecule: ribosomal RNA, 459 nt
Filed under: uncultured beta proteobacterium
Lineage: Bacteria; Pseudomonadati; Pseudomonadota; Betaproteobacteria
Description: bacterial SSU rRNA
Rfam family: Bacterial small subunit ribosomal RNA
Source: RNAcentral
AGCAGGGGAUCGCAAGACCUUGCGCUUUUGGAGCGGCCGAUGUCUGAUUAGCUAGUUGGUGGGGUAAAGGCUUACCAAGGCUUCGAUCAGUAGCUGGUCUGAGAGGACGACCAGCCACACUGGGACUGAGACACGGCCCAGACUCCUACGGGAGGCAGCAGUGGGGAAUUUUGGACAAUGGGGGAAACCCUGAUCCAGCCAUGCCGCGUGAGUGAAGAAGGCCUUCGGGUUGUAAAGCUCUUUCAGCCGGAACGAAAAGGUCACGGCUAAUACCUGUGACAAAUGACGGUACCGGAAGAAGAAGCACCGGCUAACUACGUGCCAGCAGCCGCGGUAAUACGUAGGGUGCAAGCGUUAAUCGGAAUUACUGGGCGUAAAGCGUGCGCAGGCGGUUUUGUAAGUCAGAUGUGAAAUCCCCGGGCUUAACCUGGGAACUGCGUUUGAAACUACCAAGGCUAG